Molecule: transfer RNA, 77 nt
Filed under: Peredibacter sp.
Lineage: Bacteria; Pseudomonadati; Bdellovibrionota; Bacteriovoracia; Bacteriovoracales; Bacteriovoracaceae
Also listed under: 3 other names
Description: tRNA-Met
Rfam family: tRNA
About the family: Transfer RNA (tRNA) molecules are approximately 80 nucleotides in length. Their secondary structure includes four short double-helical elements and three loops (D, anti-codon, and T loops). Further hydrogen bonds mediate the characteristic L-shaped molecular structure. tRNAs have two regions of fundamental functional importance: the anti-codon, which is responsible for specific mRNA codon recognition, and the 3' end, to which the tRNAs corresponding amino acid is attached (by aminoacyl-tRNA synthetases). tRNAs cope with the degeneracy of the genetic code in two manners: having more than one tRNA (with a specific anti-codon) for a particular amino acid; and 'wobble' base-pairing, i.e. permitting non-standard base-pairing at the 3rd anti-codon position.
Source: RNAcentral
GGGACAUUAGCUCAGUUGGUUAGAGCCCCCGGCUCAUAACCGGGUGGUCGCUGGUUCAAGUCCAGCAUGUCCCACCA